CACCUGUCCUAUUGCCCGUGAUCCAACUCGAAGUUUUAACUCGAAAUCCAACUCGCAGUGUUUUCAAUAAGAGGCGGUUACCGGCGGUUUACCACCGCCUAUUUCGCCUCUGACAGCCGGUUAUUUCAGUAAUAUGCCAGCAAACUUUAAAACUAGGCAGCGAAUCCCUUUCUGCCUGUGAAGCGAAAGCUUUGCUGUACAAGUAGACUUUGCCCUUACAGGUAAACUACGUGAAGCGUUCCUCUUUUGAGUUUCUAAAUUGAUUGCAAUUUUCCUCAUUACUUUUGCAAUUUAAAAAACUCCCUUGCAAAUCCCUUGGGGGAAUUUGCAAUAUUGCUAAAAGCCAAAAAAAUUUUCCUCAGUUCCUGUUAGAAGUUCUUAACUUCCUGUUACAAGUUCCUAACUUCCUGUUCUGUUCUGGGCGUUGCAAUUGGCUAACAAAAAUAAUCGACCAAUAACAAUGCUCAGAACAGAACAGGAAGUUAGGAAAUUAAAA
Non-coding RNA from Paramuricea clavata, 496 nucleotides. NCBI's taxonomy places the organism in Eukaryota, Metazoa, Cnidaria, Anthozoa, Malacalcyonacea, Plexauridae. The record is from the annotation of a GenBank genome assembly.